This 429-nucleotide ribosomal RNA is filed under the name Actinomycetes bacterium. RNAcentral describes it as "Actinobacteria bacterium partial 16S ribosomal RNA". It matches the Rfam family "Bacterial small subunit ribosomal RNA", at positions 355 to 776 of the family's 1533-position model. The record is from RNAcentral. Lineage: Bacteria; Bacillati; Actinomycetota; Actinomycetes.
UAGGGAAUCUUCCGCAAUGGGCGAAAGCCUGACGGAGCAACGCCGCGUGAGUGAUGAAGGUCUUCGGAUCGUAAAACUCUGUUAUUAGGGAAGAACAAAUGUGUAAGUAACUAUGCACGUCUUGACGGUACCUAAUCAGAAAGCCACGGCUAACUACGUGCCAGCAGCCGCGGUAAUACGUAGGUGGCAAGCGUUAUCCGGAAUUAUUGGGCGUAAAGCGCGCGUAGGCGGUUUUUUAAGUCUGAUGUGAAAGCCCGCGGCUCAACCGUGGAGGGUCAUUGGAAACUGGAAAACUUGAGUGCAGAAGAGGAAAGUGGAAUUCCAUGUGUAGCGGUGAAAUGCGCAGAGAUAUGGAGGAACACCAGUGGCGAAGGCGACUUUCUGGUCUGUAACUGACGCUGAUGUGCGAAAGCGUGGGGAUCAAACAGG